RNAcentral lists this long non-coding RNA (8790 nucleotides) under Capsicum annuum. RNAcentral's name for it is "long non-coding RNA (CANN_LNC002837)". Lineage: Eukaryota; Viridiplantae; Streptophyta; Magnoliopsida; Solanales; Solanaceae. The record is from RNAcentral.
UCUUUUUUUUUUUCAUUUAAUUAAGAAAUCCUUCUUAAAAUGUUGAUGAAAGUUUGUACAUUUAAUAGAGGGAGUAUAAGAUGGUUCUUUCAUAUAUUGAUAGUUCUCGCCCUAUCCUCUCCAAAGAAAAUUUGCAAGUAGGGGAGCUAUAAAGAGGAGCAAAGUUAAAAAGCAAAAUUACUAUUUUACAAGGGAAAAAACUAUUUUGGGGGUUCAAAAUUGAUGGUUAUGUCCACUUAUCAGCAAAGUUAAAAAGCUAAAUUAAUAUUUUAUGGAGGAAAAAUGAUCAAAAGGUUUUGAGGGUUCAAAAUUGAUAGUUAUGUCCACCUAUCAGAAGAAGACAUUUAAGCCUAGGUUGAAGUUUAUGUUCCCCUUUUUCAUAUUAUUUGAUCCCUUUUGAUAUGACACAUCCGUCAUGUAAGUUUAUUUAGUGGUAAUCUUAUUAGUGGUGGUUUUGAAACGUUAAAUUUGACUAUUAUAAUAUUUAGUUAUUUAAUACUAACUGCCUGUUUGGAUGGUGAUUUAUCAUGAUUUCACAAUGUAUGAUAUGGUACAGUAUCAUGUUUUAAUAGAUUGUAUCGUUCACUGUGGUUUAAUAAUAGUUUUUUUGUUUGGUUUGAUGGUAUGAUAAGGUAUGAUAACAGGUAAAUUUACUAAAAUGCCCCUAAUUGUAAUACAUUUGAGAUAUCAACUCUUUUAUCCAUAUCAGUGCUAGCGUAACCAGUUGUCCUUUCUUUCUUGAUGCUUCUCAUAACUACCCGAUGAUCCUUUAAGACGCCAAAUUCACAAGGAUAUUUGCUAAACAAAGAUUUGACGAACGCAAGCUAAUACAAUCGGGAAAUAAUUUCCAAUCAAUAAAACAAUUGGUAUACAUGUAUGUAUCUUAGAGUUCAAAAAUCACUUCCCAUGUAUAUAUUUAAUGUGCAUUCAUUCUGUUUCCCUCCAUUUCAAUUUUCAAUUUUUUUUUUAUCGAAUUGAGUUUUUAUUGGUAUUAAAAACUACUACAACUAAAUAACUGUGAUCAUUUUUCUCACUCUUUGAAUUUUUAUAUUGCUAACAGGAAAUCUUGCAAUCUUCGAUUUUGUUAACAAAUGCAUAGUCUUAGCAUGUAUUUUGUUGAUAAGGAUAAAAUAGGAUUAAAGAAAAUUAUAUAAGGGUAUAGUUGAAAAAGAAAAAUAAAAACCAUGGCACACCACCAAUUUAUUAGUUCACUAAAUUGCUUCAUUCCAUGAUUAUCAAACCAUGAAAUAGUAACAUAUCAUACCACCAUUUUUAGAAGCCAUGAAAACAAACAUGGCAUACCAUGGGAAACCACCAUCCAAACAGGCUGUAAGAGUAGUGUGAAACAGAAGGGGAAAACGGAUAUGAAGACGGAAGAGAGAGCAACGAAAUCGCCGAGAUAGGGUUAUGUUUGAAUAAUAUGAGCAACUAUUUUUGGAGGAAUUCUUGAAUUCUAUCUUAUGCACUAUGCUGCACUGAGGAGCUUAAAAUGAAGCUAAGCAUGGAGACACAUACCUCAGUGAGUUGUCAGGAGACCCUCUUGUGAAAUAGGUCGAGAUGGAUUUAUUUAUGUGAUUCUUCAAAGGCAUGAUCCUGGUUUCAACUUCAACUGCUAUUUCAUAUGUCCUUAGUGGUAGACGAGAAAGGCAAAGAUAUGAUUAUUGUUAUCAUGUGAAGAGAUAAUCAUAGAGAACAAAUCCCCACUUAUAUGUAGUUUUGUGAACUAUCCUAUUAAAGUCAAGAUAAUAGUAUGGAAUAAAAUUCUCUUGUUUGCUAAAAUGGAUAAAGUACAUGUUACUGCUGAAUGAAAUAUCUAAUAAAAUUCAAGGUUUAUCUUUUUCCUUCCUUUCCAUUCUUUAUCUAAUUGUGACUCCAUUUGAUUAUGUUAUUUAAUCAUACGUUUGGUAUAUUAUUCAUUAGUAUUAUAAUUGAAUCUUUAUUUAAAAUUAUUUGUUGAGUUUAAAAUAUAAGGUUAUAAUUAAAUAUUGAAUCUGAAUAUGUAGAUUACCGUCAAACAUACAACUCUACUUUGUAUUUUGUUGUUGUACGUUUUUAGAUUCUUUCGAAUGAAAGUUUCAAAAAAUAUAAAUAUCCAAUGAGAUGUUUCAGAUACCAUGCCAUAUGUUUCAAUUUUUCUUUGAGGUUCUUUAAUUUUAUGUCUUUGCCUACUUAUACUUGGAUUAGUGAGAAUUUAAUUGUAAAAGAUGUUAUUUUUAGAUGGAUGUUUUGUUACUUUUGUUUGGUCAAUUCGAUUGUCUAUAUUUUGUUAGCUGUUAUCUUAUUGUGCUCUUAAUUAACUAAACGAAUAAUAAUUUCUUUAUAUUUGAGUUUAUUUUUUUUUCUUUUUAUUGUAAAACAAUUCCUUAACUAUAACUAAAUAUAUUGUGGUGCCUGUAGGAAAUUUUUUAUGGUGGGUGAGGAUUAAAAAAUAUAUGCUGUAGGUCCCAUUUCACUAUAACAUCCCUUUUCUUUUCUCACCCCUCCAACCCCACCUCUUCUUCACCUCUCCGCUAAUAUACAAUAUUUUAAUUUUUUAAAUUUAAAUUUACUCAUGCCAUUUUAUGGCACAAAUUAAAAUAACAUAAUUACAAAAUCAAAGGGCAGCAAAAAGUAAUAAUGAACAUUUGGUCAUAAAAUAAAAAAAUUAUUUUAUUUAUAAAUUUUAAAAUUAAAGCCGAGUUGUGUUGCACAUAAUUUUUGUAAUAAAGGACCCCUUUAGCCAUAAAUAGUAUUCAUUAUAUUUCAUGUACGUUUUUACUUUAUUUCGAAAUAUUUAUUUGAUCAUAAAUAAAUCAAAUAUAAUUUAAAGUUGUAUUUGAAAAUUUGGAAAACAUCUCAAGAGGUGUUUUCACUAUUUAUGAUUUCAUUUUUUGUACUUUUUUCUUUAUUUUUUUUCAAGAAAAUAAAUUUUGAUUUACUUUCAUAAAAUAACUCCAAUUUCAUAGAAUUUUAUUUUUAAAUUUAUUUUCAUAUUAUAUAUAUAUUAUUAAAAAAUAUGUUUGAAUUCUAAAUAUCAACUAAAAUACUAUGACCAGACACAACUCAACUCUAUUUUUAACUUUAAAAUUUUUAAAUAAAGUAAAUAUAUUUUUAAUUUUCAUGAUCAAACGCCAAUUUAAAAUUGAAAGCUAGAUGGUGAAAAUAAAUUUCAUUAAUGAUUAUUCAACUUUGAGUUUAUCAAAAAUAGUUUUAUUUUCUUAUUACAAAAAAUUAUCUAAUUUUAAAGUUUAUCACACACAAUAUUAUUUUAUCACAUAAGGUGUGUUUGAUAAUGAGUACUACCUGUUAAUGAAAAUAUCAAAAUAAAGAAGAAUCAGAUUUGGUAGAGUAAAUAAAUCAAACAUUUUAUUUAAAUCAAAAUAUAAAUAUAUUGCAAAGCAACUAUACUAAGGAAAAAAGAAUAAAAAUAGAGAGAGAAAAAUAGGACCUUUAGGGCUUUGAUUUCUUUUUAUGACAAUGGACCCAUCAUUUUUAUUUGGCAAAAUAUAAGAGGAUCCUUAGAUAAUUUUUGUCCUUCAUGUAAUAUUUGGGCCUCUCACACACUAAGAAGCCGUUUGAUUAUGAAAACUAAAAAUUUUUUGAGUUGGAGUUGCGUUUGACCAUAUCUUUUUUGAAUUUUUUUUUUGACUUUUAAAAAAACUUUUUUAAAUAUGAUUUUAUGUCCUAACUUUUACAAACUAUCAAAAUCACUCAACUAAAAUUUACUUACUAAUGAAAAAAAAACACAAUUAGCCACUAUUAUAAAAAUAAUUAUAUAUACAUGGUCAUAUUUAAUGAAUUUCAAUUAUGACAUAUAUAAUAUUUACAUUAAUAUUCGUUUUCUCAUAUUUGAAAAUUUUAAAUAUCAAUGUUAUAUUAACAGAUCAUGCUUCCUGCUUUUUAGGUGACAAAUAUUAUCUUUUAAACAAAUUUAUUUUUUUAGAAAUUUAUUUAAUUUAUUUCCUUUAUUUUCCGUUCCUAAAAAAUAGAAAAUGAUGAGUUGUUACUAAAUUUUAGGGUGCCGCUAAUUUAUUUCUUUAAUUUUCUNNNNNNNNNNNNNNNNNNNNNNNNNNNNNNNNNNNNNNNNNNNNNNNNNNNNNNNNNNNNNNNNNNNNNNNNNNNNNNNNNNNNNNNNNNNNNNNNNNNNNNNNNNNNNNNNNNNNNNNNNNNNNNNNNNNNNNNNNNNNNNNNNNNNNNNNNNNNNNNNNNNNNNNNNNNNNAUGGUAUAAACUUCAUAUAUAACAUACUUUGUAUAUUUAUAUUAUAAAUAUGUUUAAUAUGUUUCUUAAUACUUUGUAUAUUUAUAUAUGUGCAUAUAUGAUAUAUAUAUGGUAUAAACUUUAUAUAAAACAUAUUUUGUAUAUUUCUAUUAUAAAUAUAAUACUUUAUAUAUUUAUGGGUAUAAAUAUAAUACUUAUAUAUCUAUGGGUAUAAAUAUAAAUUAGCAAUAAAUAAUAUCUUAAAUAAGGAAGAAAAUUAAAUAAGAGAUAAAAAUAAUGAUGAGAGAGAAAAAGAGAUAUAUAUUAAUUAGGAUAACAUUAAGUUUAAAAUUAUAAUUAUCUUAUUCUUUAAAACUGCUAUAUACGUAAUAUUGAAAAAGUAAUGUUAUAAGGAGAGUUUUAUGUAAAAAUUUAAAAGAUUAAGGUUAUAUGUAAUAAUAAUAAAAGUUGAAAUUGGAAUUGAAAAAUUGUGAAAACAACAAAAACCUGUUUUCCUUUUUCAGAAUUUUUUUCGGAAUUAUUUUCUGAAUUUUCAUGGCCAAACACCAUAAUAUCUAACUCCAAAUUUUAUUUUCGAAAAAAAGAAAAAAAAAUUCAUGGUCAAACGGGUCCUAAAAUUUUUCGUGUGCCUGUAGUGCCAAAACACUGCUCUUGUCAUAUCAAAUUAGUGCCAAAAUAUUGCUCAUGUGAUUCUCCCCUUUUUGAUAAUUUCAUCCUUGAUACUAAAGUAGAGUGAUUAUUUUGUUCGAAUUAGAAAUGUUUUUGCCCUUUAUUAAAGCACCUCACAAUAGAUAAAAUUAUCAUUUUAUUAUUUAUUAUAUUCCUUAAAUUAAAAGUCAAAUCAAAUAUUAUAUUUUUUUUACUAAAUUCACAAACCAAGUUACUUUUCCAUAUUUGAAAUUAAAAUUUUUUUAUUUAUGUUAAAAAAAAUCAGAUCUAUAAAAAAUUCUAACAUUAAUAAAAUUAAAUUUAACCACAACUUUGAUACUUUUCAAGGGUAUGAAUAGUGGGUUUUGAGCUAGAGGGUCAAAGACAACACCGAUGGGUUUGGAGUGUUGCUUGACAAUCGACUUCAAAGCUUAGUUAAACAUAUCAUAAUUCAACUAAAUCCAUCAUAUUCAUACAUUCAAGAGAUAUUGAAUUCAAUCAUUGUAUUAAUAUAAUAACAUUUAGUUUCAUUAUUCAUUAUUUAAACAGAUACUGUAUUUAGGAUAAUAUUAAUAGUUCUUUUAAAACAAAUUAUUAUUUUUAUUAUUUUGAAUAAUAAAGUAAUGCACAUGUGCAACAAACGUAUCCUAACCUGCUUAUGUAAAUCUCGUAUCAACACAUAAAAAAUCAAAUUUUUGUUAAAUCUCCCUUCGGUAUGAGUGACAAAAGAAAAACCACAACAUUGGUUGGUCCCUGUUGAGCACUGCCACAAAUGUAAACAUCCAGGGCCCAACUGAUCAUGAUAAGCCUAGAAGGGACACUUUAAUGAAUGGGAAAAGGACAUGGCGUGAUCAUUUUUUAAAAAAAAAUGAAUAUAAUUUGAAAAGGUAGAUAAAUAUAAAUUAUCAACUAAAUUUAAUUUUUUUUUUAGUUAUUUGGCUCAAUUGAACACAUACAGUCUCUAUACUCAAUUGAUACACUUUUAUAUCAUAUUGAUACACUUUUAUACUAUAUUGAUACACUUUUAAUAAAAGAGAAAGGAAAUUCUAUGCAAGUACAUGCGCUCCCUAUACCCAAUUGAUACUCUUUUAUACCAUAUUAAUACACUUUUAUACUACAUUGAUACAUUUGCAGUGUCCAUAUACUCAAUUGAUACUCUCUUAUACUAGAUUGAUACAUUUUUAGAAUACAUGUAGAAACUAUAUAGAGUCGUAUAAAAUAUGUAUCUAAAUAAUAAUUGUAGUUAAAAAUUAUAUAGAAUGUGCAUAUCUAUUUUCUUUUUAAUGUUUGACUUGUUUUAUUAUAGUUCCUCUUUUGGACUUGCAAUAAUGUCGGGGUUGAUUUUUGGAUUUGAAAAAUUACAGUUGAACUAUUGAAAAAAAUUGGAGUUAGGUUUUCCAUUUUGUGUUUGAGUUGCAUUAUCUGCUCCUCAAAAUCCUAUGUAUUUGUUUUGAUCAAAUAAAGUUUCUUAUAGUAAUUUCACAUAACUUUUUUUAUAGUCAAUGUCAUCAUUCCAUAAAUAUACAUAAUGUAUGUUUCAAUGUACAACAAUUGUAGUUAUGUUAAUUUAAAAAAAGGAAUUGGUUUUUAGAAAAAAAUAAAAAGUUGCAAAAAAAAAAGUAGAAAAAUAGUGAAAAAACACAAAAGAGCAGUGAUUUUUUUAUAAUAGAAUGAAACAUCAAAUUAAAAAAAAUGGAACAUAAAAAAAACAGCAAAAUUAAAAAAAUAAAAUGAACUAGCGUUUAAAAAAAAAAUAGGAAAAAACAUGAAGUAACUGACAUGCAAAAUAAUCAAUGGCUGUAAAAUGAAAUUAGUUUAGUGGCUGAUUAGAGGGAAUUAAAUUGCAGUGUCUAUUUAGUUGGAAUUAGUUUUAGCUAGUGGACAUUUUUGUCAUUUCCCUUAAUGAAAACCUUUUUUUUUUUUUCGUUUUAUUAACUGACACAAAUUAUAUGAGAUUGUUUUCUUGCUGGUCAGAUUAGUGGACACAAGUAUAAGAUUUGAAUCCAGUAAUUUAUAAAACAUAAAGGAACCUCACGUAAUUUGUGUUAGUUUUAUAAGGCCAAAAAGUGAGGUGUCUCUAUUCUUACUAGUUAUUUAACUGAUGUCUCAAUGUAAUGCAACUCUUUCCAUUUUAAUUGGGAAAAAACAUAUACAAUUCUGAAAAAAUAAAUUACAAUUCCUGUUCAACAAGCACCACAAGUUUUGGAACCCUCUGUGAUAGUUGAUUAACUAGGAUGAGGUGACACUACAAACUGUUUCUCUUAAUUAGAACAAUCAACAUGGAGGACCAAAUUUUACUGUUUUUUUUCUUUUCCUUCUUUAGCCUUUGCAAUUUCUUCUACUGCACGUUGUUCCAAUUUACUAUUUAUAACUAGUUAAAGUAACAUAUUCGUUUAGUUCAAUUGAAAAGAUUUUCAAUCCAAUCCCCUACAUACUUGGCCAAAAGGUUAAUAUCAAAGAUAAUGCCACAUGUGGUCGUUAAUCGUCAUACUAAAGUAGCUAGGAGGAAAGGAGUGGUUAAUGUGUCGUUUUCAUAUUUAAAGAGGUUUUUUUUUGGGCCGAUAGAACUCAUCAUACUCACCACACAAAACAUACACUACCUCGAUUUCAACUAGUUCGUCUAAUAAGAAAAUUAAAAAAAAUAAAUAAAAUAUUUGAAUCAUAUAGUUUUAAACAUAGAUGUGUAGAAUGCAACAAAUAUUGUUAAAUUUGCAGUUUUAAAUAUGUUACUUAAGAAAUUGAAAUUAAAAAACUACAAACAAGAAAGAUGAGCAAAUUGAAAUUAAAGAAUAACUGAAAAACCAGAACUCAACAUAUAAGCACCGAUUCAUCAUUAUUAAAUUCUCAUAACUUGGUUGGAAUGGAGGAAAAUACACAGGUACAAGAGGAAAAAGAAACAAAGGAAAAAACAGUAGUUUCUGAAAGGGGUAAAAAAAGACUAGGUACAAAUCAAACAAACAUCUCCAUAGGAGGAGUAAUUAUAUGUUGGCUGGCCAUAAGGGUGAAAUUCAGUAGCCUUCUGGCUUGUAGGCGAUGAAACUGAUGCACUGCACUUGACGAACGUUAUCGAAUCCGAUAAUACGGAUCCAGGCCUGUGGGUAAGCCUUCUUGGCCUCUUGGACCUCAUUCAACACCUGGGUAGCGUCAGUGCACCCAAACAUGGGCAACUUCCACAUUGUCCAGUACCUUCCAUCGUAGUAUCCUGGUGACCUGUGGUGCUCACGGUACACGAAUCCGUGCUGCAUCCAUAACAUAUUCAUAAUAAUUAGUUACUAUUAUGCUUAAUUAAUACUUGUAAAUUUUAUAAAUCAGAGACAAAUAUUGACCUCAGUCUCGAAUUCCAAGCAAGGAACCCAUCCCUUUUGCAAAAGGUACUCAAUUUCCUUGAGCAAUUGCUCGUCAGACAAAUCAGGAAGGUAUGAGAGAGUCUCGUACUUCUUCUUGUUAAUUGGUGGCCACACCUACACUCCACACAUAAAACAAUUCAAAGUAAUUAGUACUAGCACGAAUUAGAAACGUAGUUAACUAUAUUGAUAAUGUAAAAAUUCUUUUAACCAGCAUGCAUUGGACACGUCCACCGUUGCUAGCAAUGGAAGUAAUGUCAAGGUUGUUCUUCCUAGUAACUGGGAAAGAUGCAGCAGAUUUUAGGCCAGUGAAGGGUGCAACCAUGCUAGCCUGAGUGACAUUGGUGCGGGUAGCAACGGCUGCCGAAGAGAUCACUGAGGAAGCCAUUGCGUUACUACUUAGUUUUAUUUUUCCUUGAGACAAUUGUUUUUUUGAAGAUGCUCAUUGCACUGUGGCUCCCGUCCUUUAUAUAAUGAAAAGAUUAGACAUAUUCUCUAUCUAACGGAUUGAAACAAGCAAACCUCAUCUUAGAUGAAUGGUGACCAUUGGAUUAUGUGGCUGUUGAUAUUACAAAGUUUAAUGGCCACAUGAAAGAUAA